UCUUCUACCUCUGAUGGCUUUUUUAUAUCCCAGGAAAAGUAUAUCCAGGAUCUUCUUGCUCGUGCUGCUCUUUCUGACGAGCGCACUGUUGAGACUCCUAUGGAGCUCAAUGUUCACCUCCGUGCUACUGAUGGUGAUCCUCUCCCUGAUCCGACGCGUUAUCGUCAUCUCGUUGGCAGUCUUGUUUAUCUAGCUGUCACUCGUCCGGACAUCUCUUAUCCGGUUCAUAUUCUGAGUCAGUUUGUCUCUGCUCCCACAUCGGUUCAUUAUAGUCAUCUCCUUCGUGUUCUUCGAUAUCUUCGGGGCACGAUCUCUCACCGUCUCUUCUUUCCUAGCUCCAGUUCUUUACAGCUUCAGGCCUAUGCGAAUGCUACGUGGGCUAGUGAUCCUUCUGAUCGCCGUUCACUUUCUGCUUACUGUGUUUUUCUUGGUGGUUCUCUCAUUGCCUGGAAGACGAAGAAACAGAUUGCAGUUUCCCGUUCGAGUGCUGAGGCUGAGUUGCGAGCUAUGGCCCUUUUGACGGCAGAGGUGACUUGGUUACGGUGGUUACUUCAGGAUUUUGGUGUUUCUGUCACU
Molecule: ribosomal RNA, 576 nt
Filed under: Triticum aestivum (bread wheat)
Lineage: Eukaryota; Viridiplantae; Streptophyta; Magnoliopsida; Poales; Poaceae
Description: partial small subunit ribosomal RNA
Source: RNAcentral